Molecule: long non-coding RNA, 226 nt
Filed under: Homo sapiens (human)
Lineage: Eukaryota; Metazoa; Chordata; Mammalia; Primates; Hominidae
Description: HSALNT0244633
Source: RNAcentral
AUUGCUGUCUUCUCUCCUGGCUGCUCUGGGACAAAAACAAUCUCAUAGAAACUGCUGCAUCAGAUCCACCAGGAAGAAAAAAGGAUGCUACUGGCCCAAGGAGAAUGUAGAAACCUGUGGUGUCAACUUGAACCCAACUUUACUACGUAGUGAAGCCCAGCUCCUUCCAGUCAAGUCCGAGGAGCCAUAGUUGGUCACCCAUGAGUAAGAAAAUGAGCGGCAGCUG